This is a long non-coding RNA of Epinephelus fuscoguttatus (brown-marbled grouper), 268 nucleotides long. RefSeq lists it as uncharacterized. The transcript is spliced from 3 exons. Lineage: Eukaryota; Metazoa; Chordata; Actinopteri; Perciformes; Serranidae. The record is from RefSeq and is a predicted model, not a curated record.
GUGACCUAGAAAAUGGUUUCUACAGAACUGCAGGAGAAGUGUUUUCUGUCAGCUUAGCUCAGGGUGGCCCAGCACCAUGCUUCUUCAGAAAUUGGUGUUACCAGUUUCUUGCAACAGGGGAUUUUGAUGCUCUGCAGCUGACCAAAGAUGAUGUGGAUGAUCUUGAAUAUGCUUUACUCAUCGAAAGGGUGGAGGCAGCAACUGAUCUGACACAGUUGACAGAUGAAAUCGUGAGUUGUGGUUACACUGGUGUGCUAAAGAUGGACCG